AAGACAGAGGGGGCAAGCGUUGCUCGGAAUCACUGGGCGUAAAGGGCGCGUAGGCGGGAUGGCAAGUCGGUCGUGAAAUCCCUCGGCUCAACCGAGGAGCGUCGGCCGAUACUGCCGUUCUUGAGGGAUGCAGAGGAGACUGGAAUUCCCGGUGUAGCGGUGAAAUGUGUAGAGAUCGGGAGGAACACCGGUGGCGAAGGCGGGUCUCUGGGCCGAUACUGACGCUGAGGAGCGAAAGCGUGGGGAGCGAACAGGA
RNAcentral lists this ribosomal RNA (256 nucleotides) under uncultured prokaryote. RNAcentral's name for it is "partial 16S ribosomal RNA". It matches the Rfam family "Bacterial small subunit ribosomal RNA", at positions 522 to 777 of the family's 1533-position model. The record is from RNAcentral.